AGGUGUAACGUCACGCA
RNAcentral lists this ribosomal RNA (17 nucleotides) under Dicranum crassifolium. RNAcentral describes it as "partial 26S ribosomal RNA". The record is from RNAcentral. Lineage: Eukaryota; Viridiplantae; Streptophyta; Bryopsida; Dicranales; Dicranaceae.